GUGUGCUUGUUCCAUAAACCGCUCAAGGUAUUGUUCACAGGAGAUCAUUUAGCAAUGACGGAGAAUGGCAUGAGUAUAUUCGAGCAGUAUAAUCAUGGCUCAUUUCCCCUCCAGCUUGAGAAUGUCCGGAGCUUGAUCGACCUAGAUUUCCAAUGGAUUUUACCGGGGCAUGGGAGGAGAGUACAUUUCAAAGAUAGAGAAGAGAAAUCGAAGAAUCUCGAAGCACUUGUUCAGAAACACUUGCAAAAAACAUCUUGAAUCUUGACAAAGAUCUUGUAAACUUGACAAAGCUGGUUCUGCUUUUGUAACAGUUAAGGUUUUUCCUUGAACUUGGCAUGGAUAUGUCUGCUUGUACUGUUUCAGUGUACUUGUAAGAACAUUAGAGGAGUCUCCUUGUGAAAG
Long non-coding RNA from Tarenaya hassleriana, 402 nucleotides. RefSeq lists it as uncharacterized. The record is from RefSeq and is a predicted model, not a curated record. Lineage: Eukaryota; Viridiplantae; Streptophyta; Magnoliopsida; Brassicales; Cleomaceae. The transcript has 3 exons.